CAGAUGUGAAAUCCCCGGGCUCAACCUGGGAACUGCAUCUGAUACUGGCAAGCUUGAGUCUCGUAGAGGGGGGUAGAAUUCCAGGUGUAGCGGUGAAAUGCGUAGAGAUCUGGAGGAAUACCGGUGGCGAAGGCGGCCCCCUGGACAAAGACUGACGCUCAGGUGCGAAAGCGUGGGGAGCAAACAGGAUUAGAUACCCUGGUAGUCCACGCCGUAAACGAUGUCGACUUGGAGGUUGUGCCCUUGAGGCGUGGCUUCCGGAGCUAACGCGUUAAGUCGACCGCCUGGGGAGU
RNAcentral lists this ribosomal RNA (293 nucleotides) under Escherichia coli. RNAcentral describes it as "partial 16S ribosomal RNA". It matches the Rfam family "Bacterial small subunit ribosomal RNA", at positions 589 to 881 of the family's 1533-position model. The record is from RNAcentral. Lineage: Bacteria; Pseudomonadati; Pseudomonadota; Gammaproteobacteria; Enterobacterales; Enterobacteriaceae.